UUUAAAUUUAGAGUUUGAUCCUGGCUCAGGACGAACGCUGGCGGCGUGCUUAACACAUGCAAGUCGAGCGAUGAAGCUUCCUUCGGGAAGUGGAUUAGCGGCGGACGGGUGAGUAACACGUGGGUAACCUGCCUCAAAGUGGGGGAUAGCCUUCCGAAAGGAAGAUUAAUACCGCAUAAUAUAAGAGAAUCGCAUGAUUUUCUUAUCAAAGAUUUAUUGCUUUGAGAUGGACCCGCGGCGCAUUAGCUAGUUGGUAAGGUAACGGCUUACCAAGGCAACGAUGCGUAGCCGACCUGAGAGGGUGAUCGGCCACAUUGGAACUGAGACACGGUCCAGACUCCUACGGGAGGCAGCAGUGGGGAAUAUUGCGCAAUGGGGGAAACCCUGACGCAGCAACGCCGCGUGGGUGAUGAAGGUCUUCGGAUUGUAAAGCCCUGUUUUCUAGGACGAUAAUGACGGUACUAGAGGAGGAAGCCACGGCUAACUACGUGCCAGCAGCCGCGGUAAUACGUAGGUGGCGAGCGUUGUCCGGAUUUACUGGGCGUAAAGGGUGCGUAGGCGGAUGUUUAAGUGGGAUGUGAAAUCCCCGGGCUUAACCUGGGGGCUGCAUUCCAAACUGGAUAUCUAGAGUGCAGGAGAGGAAAGCGGAAUUCCUAGUGUAGCGGUGAAAUGCGUAGAGAUUAGGAAGAACACCAGUGGCGAAGGCGGCUUUCUGGACUGUAACUGACGCUGAGGCACGAAAGCGUGGGUAGCAAACAGGAUUAGAUACCCUGGUAGUCCACGCCGUAAACGAUGGAUACUAGGUGUAGGGGGUAUCAACUCCCCCUGUGCCGCAGUUAACACAAUAAGUAUCCCGCCUGGGGAGUACGGUCGCAAGAUUAAAACUCAAAGGAAUUGACGGGGGCCCGCACAAGCAGCGGAGCAUGUGGUUUAAUUCGAAGCAACGCGAAGAACCUUACCUGGACUUGACAUCCCUUGCAUAGCCUAGAGAUAGGUGAAGCCCUUCGGGGCAAGGAGACAGGUGGUGCAUGGUUGUCGUCAGCUCGUGUCGUGAGAUGUUAGGUUAAGUCCUGCAACGAGCGCAACCCUUGUUAUUAGUUGCUACCAUUAAGUUGAGCACUCUAAUGAGACUGCCUGGGUAACCAGGAGGAAGGUGGGGAUGACGUCAAAUCAUCAUGCCCCUUAUGUCCAGGGCUACACACGUGCUACAAUGGUAGGUACAAUAAGACGCAAGACCGUGAGGUGGAGCAAAACUUAUAAAACCUAUCUCAGUUCGGAUUGUAGGCUGCAACUCGCCUACAUGAAGCUGGAGUUGCUAGUAAUCGCGAAUCAGAAUGUCGCGGUGAAUACGUUCCCGGGCCUUGUACACACCGCCCGUCACACCAUGAGAGCUGGUAACACCCGAAGUCCGUGAGGUAACCGUAAGGAGCCAGCGGCCGAAGGUGGGAUUAGUGAUUGGGGUGAAGUCGUAACAAGGUAGCCGUAGGAGAACCUGCGGCUGGAUCACCUCCUUUCUA
RNAcentral lists this ribosomal RNA (1517 nucleotides) under Clostridium botulinum. RNAcentral describes it as "bacterial SSU rRNA". It matches the Rfam family "Bacterial small subunit ribosomal RNA". Lineage: Bacteria; Bacillati; Bacillota; Clostridia; Eubacteriales; Clostridiaceae. The record is from RNAcentral. RNAcentral also lists the same sequence under 1 other name.